This 505-nucleotide ribosomal RNA is filed under the name uncultured bacterium. Its description in RNAcentral is "bacterial SSU rRNA". It matches the Rfam family "Bacterial small subunit ribosomal RNA", at positions 19 to 518 of the family's 1533-position model. The record is from RNAcentral.
CUGGCUCAGGAUGAACGCUAGCGACAGGCUUAACACAUGCAAGUCGAGGGGCAGCAUAAAAGUAGCAAUACUUGGUGGCGACCGGCGCACGGGUGAGUAACGCGUAUGCAACCUACCUAUCAGAGGGGAAUAACCCGGCGAAAGUCGGACUAAUACCGCAUAAAACAGGGACACCGCAUGGUGAUAUUUGUUAAAGAAAUUCGCUGAUAGAUGGGCAUGCGUUCCAUUAGGUAGUUGGUGAGGUAACGGCUCACCAAGCCGACGAUGGAUAGGGGAACUGAGAGGUUGGUCCCCCACACUGGUACUGAGACACGGACCAGACUCCUACGGGAGGCAGCAGUGAGGAAUAUUGGUCAAUGGGCGAGAGCCUGAACCAGCCAAGUCGCGUGAAGGAAGAAGGAUCUAUGGUUCGUAAACUUCUUUGCAGGGGAAUAAAGUGCAGGACGUGUCCUGUUUCGUAUGUACCCUGAGAAUAAGGAUCGGCUAACUCCGUGCCAGCCGCCGC